AUGGCCAGCAUACUUUCCAAACGUCUCGGCAAGCGGUCUCUCCUUGGCGCCAGGGUCUGCACUCCGAGUUUAGUUGCAGACUGCAUGUCCAUUGAAGGGCCCGGAGACCUUACUGGAGGGGCCCAUCUUGGACCUUAUGAUGGAGGGUUCCUGAAGGAGUGUCUUGAGGAAAGUGCUUUUCCUUCUGGAAGUCGCUUCAAGCUGUAUCCGGGCCAGAAGGUGUACGUUACACACAAUGGCAAGGAGUGCGCUGGUUUGGUGGAGCAACACAACCACGUGGACGAUGAGGUGAAGGUCUUUGUGUUUGAGCUUGGGCUGCACCUUUGCCGAAAGACGGAAGAUGUGCGUUUUGCAGAGGCUCCGAAAUCUAUGAUCGUCCCCAUGGAGCAAGUGAUGUCCACCAGCCCCGUGACUUAUUCCAGCGCAGCCCAGAGAAUGGUGUCUUGCAGCAUUGAUGUCCCAAAGAGGCGCUCGGAUGCGGUGGAUAUGGAUGAAAUGAUGGCGGCCCUGGUCCUCAGCAGCCUGUCCUGCAGCCCCAUCGUGCAGAGCCCACCCUGCAGCGACAUCAUCCCAGCUCCUCAAGUCACCUGUGACCUGUGGAAGGAAAGCGGGGACGUGUCGGACAGCGGCAGCAGCACCACCAGCGGGCACUGGAGUGUGGAGUGUGGCGCCUCCACCCCCUCCCCUCCUCACACCGAGGCCAGCCCCAAGUAUACAGGCGAGGUCUUCAGUGCUUCCCAUGUGGAUGAAGGAUUCGAGACGGACCCUGAUCCUUUCCUUCUGGAUGAGCCGGCCCCUCGGAAGCGGAAGAACUCGGUGAAGGUGAUGUACAAGUGUCUGUGGCCGAGCUGCGGAAAACUGCUGCGCUCCAUUGUGGGCAUUAAACGCCAUGUGAAGACCCAGCAUCUGGGAGACGGGAUGGAUACUGACCAGCGUAAGCGAGAAGAGGACUUCUACUACACCGAGGUCCAAAUGAAGGAUGAGUCUGAGGUGGAGAACACCCCAAGGAGCCCCAGCACUGCUACCGCCCCUCUUCUCAUCCAGCCGAUCACCCCCAAGCCGGAGACGCAGGCUCUGGAGGUGCCCUUUGUGGAGUCUCCAUUGCCCAGUGCGCUCAGUCAGUCUGCUCCAGGCUCCUUCUGGCAUAUCCAGGCCGAUCACGCUUACCAGGCGCUGCCUUCCAUCCAGAUCCCAGUUUCCCCCCACAUCUUCACCAGCAUAAGCUGGGCAGCUGCUCCCUCUACGCUCCCAGCCCUCUCUCCAAUCAGAAGCCGGUCGCUCAGUUUCAGUGAACAGCAGCCACAGACUCCAUCCAUAAAGUCGCAGCUGAUUGUGGCCUCGCCCCCCAGAGCGUCUAAUGGUAGCAGGAAAGUUCGUGGUGAAGCAAAGAAAUGCCGUAAAGUGUAUGGCAUCGAACACCGGGACCAGUGGUGCACCGCCUGCCGGUGGAAAAAGGCCUGUCAGAGGUUCCUCGACUGAACCCCACUCCCUAAGUAUCCACGUCUCCCAGAAGGCUCGGGGGCGGAUUUAGCUUCAAGCCUCCUAGAGUCUGCUUGCGAAGCUUCUUGGAGAAAGUGGUGAUGACUAAAGACUGUAUAAAUUGUAAAUGUCGAAACCUUUACAUCAUUGUAUGUCGUCCAGAUUUUGAAUUUUUUUUUUUUUUAUAGACUGUAGGGAUUUUAUUUUAUUUUUAAACUUUCCUAAACGGAUGUGUAGGGACCAAAAGUGUUGAAACUUUUUUUUUUUUUUUUUUAAGGAAAAAAAAAAUCCCUCGUCGCUACAAGUUUUAAAAAAAAAAAAAUUCCGAAGCAUCGAGAUGCCCGUCCUUGUUGUAUAUAGCGUCUUCCUCACCUCAUUGGCCUGUAAAUGUCCCACACCGCCACAAUAUGUCCUCCUUCUAUUUUGUUACAUGGUUUUUAUUGCAGACAAUUGUACAUACAGUAAAGAUGCAUUUUGACUGCUGCAGUGUCCAGGGUCCAUCGUUGGAGGGGUUUCUCAUGCUUUAUUAGUAUCUGAGGAGUCUAUGAAGCCAUUUUGUAUUGUCUAUUGUCAGAAAUAUUGUAUAGAGUCCUAAAAAGUGCUGUCCAAUAGCCAACAAUUCCACAAAAAGGAUCAUUGUCAGGCCGAUAUCUCAUGAUGUGGUGCUCUGUAUUUAAUGCAGUCUAAGUGGUAACAUCCAUAUAUGACAUUGAGCAGCUAUUCUUUCUAUAUUGGUACCUUUUUGCCUGCACAAAGAGAACAUUGCUAUUUUGUGGGUUCAGCUGGUCUUUCUAGAGCAGCCCAUGUACUCUGAGGAACCUUGGCAAGGAGGCCUCAACGCCAAGAUCCUCAUCAGAUACUUGGCAAGAACUUUUUUCCAUUGCUGAGGAAUGGUAGCUAUGCUGCCUUCUCUUUGGUACUAGAGCUGAAGGGAUGGCCCUAAACACCACCAGCACUUCAUCUGAACGUUGGAGAUACCUUUCGGACAUAGACAUGGAUGUGUCACCACAAAUUAGAAGGUCUAAAUGAUGGGACUGCUCAACUUUCAGUUGCUGUUCCCGUUAAGAAGUCAACACUUAAGGGCCCAAAAAGUCUAUCUGAUGGUGACUUGCAUUCACAUGACUAGAAUGAAGCAAAACUUUUAUUUUGAGGUCAGACUGGUUCCAUAAUCACAAAUUGUCCAUCACGAGAUGUCUUCAUCUCCACUCGUGACUAAAUGGGCUCUUCCAUUUUAAUAGAUGGUGGUGCUGGGCUCUUGCUUGUCUUGUAAGUCAUUUUCCAGAUUUGGAAAAACAUGGCUGCUUUCUUCUGAGCCAUGAUACCACCAACAACCUGUGGUGUGUUUUUGUUUUUUUGUGUGUGUUUUUUUUUUAAGAAAGUAGCCAUGUUUUUCCUAUCCAGGACUGGGACAGCACCUUUUUAAGAAUGAAUUGGCUGUUUUUGAAAUGCUGGUUCAACCUACAAAAUGGCCUAUCUGGUUCUCUUCUAAUGGAAAUGUGCUAAAUGAGACCUGCCAGUAUUAAGCAGAGGAAUCCUGAGAUGAUGCAAAGCAUGUCACAACUUUUGAGAACAUAAUUCAUGUACAGUAGAUUAACCAUUGUCUGUAGGGUUCUGGCGGACAUGGCAGUUGAUCAUCUAGACCAAUGUUCCUCAAAUCUGCCCCCCAAAGAACCUCAAACAGACCAUGUUUUCUGUUUUUUCUAAGUGAAUGUGCGUUGUCCAGGUGGUGCUCUCUAUGGGAUGGCCUCAAAUUGUGACCUGUUUGUGGUUCUCUAAGACUAGAGUUCUGGAACCCUGCUCUAUGCUUGCUGUAUUAAUGUACCAUCCAUGCCCAUGGAUUGAUUCUGACCCAAAUCUUAGCUUAUUGGUUUUGCCCAAUGACUCCACCAAGAAUUCUGUGGUCUUCCGGUUUGAUUCUCCUCCUUUUUUCUGCAGGUUAAAAGUCCUAAAGUCUUGGCUCGGACCAUUUCUACAAGGUGCUGUCCAAAAAGAACUCUGUCCCUGUCAGUAUUCUGAGUACUUUAUCAUACCCAAAGGCACUUAUCAAGGUGUGAUGUGUUACGGGACGGCACGGGGGGCUCAAUCACUACAGUUUCAUCGUGUUUACAAGUGACCAUGAUUAGGAGGAGUCAAGCCAUAAAAAAGGCCUCCUCAUGAUAAUGGUAAACUUGAUGAAACUAUGUGACCCCCCCAACUUCCAGCUUCAAGGAAGAGUGGUCCAUAGAGCCUUUAAUGCACCUUUUUAAAAUUUAGAUUUUAUUUUUUUUACUCCAUUGUGUACUUUACUUUUAUUUUCUUAAAGUGAAUGUAUCUGUAUAGUUAGGGUUUAGCGUUUUAUAGCGGAGCUUUAGAGCAAAAAGUUGGAAGGAUCGGACUUUGAUUUUUAUUUUAUUUUAUGAAAUAUCCGUAUAUGGGGGGUGAAUGCUAUACCCAGUAAUCCAAUAUAUAAGGUGCUGCUGACUGCAUGACGCUGUGUCUGGCUUAUACUGGAAAAUGGCUCCUGAAAAGGUGACUUUCUAUACAUGUAGCAAUCCAAUUUUCCAAUUUUUUGGGGUUUUGUUUUUUCCUAAUUUGCUGCUUCUCUGGAGCUAUUGUAACGAAGCUAUACACUUUUAUACUACUUUAAUGCAUAUUCUUCUGUGAAACCACUCAGACCCGGGAGUAGAGUAAAAUAAGCUGCGCCUCGAAGAACGUCUAUACCCCGGACAAUGGACGUUUCGUAUGUUUGGGCUGUUUACUUCUGUAUAUGAUUUUGUGCUAUUUUUUUUAAAGCUUUUUUUUAUUUGUUUUCCAGUUUUUGUUUUUUUUAACCCACAAAAAUGUGCACGCUCCAUUUUGGGGUUUAAAUGUAAAAGCAUUGUAGAUGGAAACGGAUAGCAUUCGGACGCCAUCCACGUGUUGUCCGUUUUUCAUGGGUAGUUGUUAGGAAGUGAAAAAAAUGGUUGAGAUGCUGAGGCCCUACGGACGGUGAAAAAACGGGGAAAGGGAACGCAGUCGGAGACGAUACUGAUCGCACACGGAUGGUAAAUGGUCCGUUUUUAGAAAACUGAAUACGUUUUGCAACACCUGUCUGAGCCCUUAGGUUAAAUUCACGCAGGACGGAGGAAUCCAAAGUAGAAUCCAGAGGAAGGCGAGUAGAUGAGAUUUUUAACUUUUUUAUUUUUCUUCAUAAUUUGCUGCAAAAUUGGCGCAUCAAAUAUGCAGAUUUUGCAGCCAGGAAUUUCAAAACCACUUCUUUA
This is an RNA transcript of Bufo bufo (common toad), 4718 nucleotides long. It is a transcript of the gene named zinc finger protein 395, with no coding region annotated. The record is from RefSeq and is a predicted model, not a curated record. Lineage: Eukaryota; Metazoa; Chordata; Amphibia; Anura; Bufonidae. The transcript is spliced from 10 exons.